RNAcentral lists this ribosomal RNA (380 nucleotides) under uncultured bacterium. Its description in RNAcentral is "bacterial SSU rRNA". It matches the Rfam family "Bacterial small subunit ribosomal RNA", at positions 29 to 400 of the family's 1533-position model. The record is from RNAcentral.
AAUGAACGCUGGCGGCGCGCCUAAUACAUGCAAGUCGAGCGAGAAGACGUAGCAAUACGUUUGUAAAGCGGCGAACGGGUGAGGAAUACAUGGGUAACCUACCCUCGAGUGGGGAAGUAACUAGCCGAAGGUUAGCUAAUACCGCGUACGCUCCUUGGACUUCGGUUCAGGGAGGAAAGCGAUACCGUGGGUAUCGCGCUCUUGGUUGGGCUCAUGUCCUAUCAGCUUGUUGGGAGGUAACGGCUCACCAAGGCUUCGACGGGUAGCUGGUCUGAGAGGACGAUCAGCCACACUGGCACUGCGACACGGGCCAGACUCCUACGGGAGGCAGCAGUAAGGAAUAUUGCGCAAUGGGCGAAAGCCUGACGCAGCGACGCCGC